UAAAAAAAAUUUAAAGGGCUGCAGUAUAUUGACUGUACAAAGGUAGCAUAAUCAAUAGUCUUUUAAUUGAAGACUUGUAUGAAUGAUUUAAUGAAAUAUAAACUGUCUCUUUAUUAAAAUUAGAAUUUAAUUUUUUAGUUAAAAAGCUAAAAUUAGAAUAAAAGACGAGAAGACCCUAUAGAGUUUUAUAUUUAUAGGUAUAUAAAAAUAUUAUAUAAUUAAAAAAUUAUAUAUAAAUAAAUAUUUUAUUGGGGUGAUAGAAAAAUAAAAUAAACUUUUUUUAAUAAUAAACAUUGAUUUAUGAAUAAAUGAUCCAUAAUUUAUGAUUACAAGAUAAAUUACCUUAGGGAUAACAGCGUAAUUUUUUUUUUUAGUUCAAAUAAAAANAAAAGUUUGCNACCUCGAUGUUGGAUUAAGAUAAAAUUUAAAUGCAAAAGUUUAAAAUUUUGAUCUGUUCNAUCAUUAAAAUCUUACA
Molecule: ribosomal RNA, 475 nt
Filed under: Colotis aurora
Lineage: Eukaryota; Metazoa; Arthropoda; Insecta; Lepidoptera; Pieridae
Description: partial 16S ribosomal RNA
Source: RNAcentral